GUUUGUGCCCUGCCCAGUAGGUUGCAGGCGGGCAGCUCUCCAGGCUCUUGGCCGAGUUGGGUGGUUUGUCUCCAUUUGGCUGCUGUGAAAUCACAGGGGCCUGUUGGCUGCGGUUGUUUGUGGGCUGCUUCCCUGGAUGGUGAGGUCCUGUGCUCCGCUCCUGGGCUCUGAUGGCUUUCCAGGGAACACUGUUUGGCAUGGGAUACUCAGGAAACUUCCCAAUCAGACAGAAAGAAUAAACACAGACUUCAGCUGACUAGCUCUGCAUUUCCUUUGGGGUUGGUUCUCAGAAACUGAAGGCAAACACAUGUGAACUCACCUGGAAUGAACUUCCCGUCAACAUGGCAUUUGAAAGCUGCAAGGAGCUCAGAGCUCAGCUAGCUCAGCUGGGAGGGGAACGGGCAGUGAGCAUGGUGGGCCAGUGCCUGACGCAGCUUUGCCAACCGGACCCUCUGUUUUCCAAGGCAACCCUCCCGGUCAGCAGCCUCAGCUCUCAGGUAUGGGCUCCCGACACUGUGCCAUCUGGACUCUUUUUGUUGAGAGGAACCAAGUCUCAUUUAGGUCACCUCAACCCAUGGGUUGACACUGGUAUUUUAAGAACACAUACGACUCAAAGAAAGAGGAACAAUCAGGCCUUUUCUAAACACUGGGGCUGUGGUAACAGGUGGGCCAGGCAGGCUGGCCUGGACGGUUCUUUGAGCUGCUGCUGCAGGCCCUGCUGUCUGUGCCGCCUCCAACCACCUCCUUGCUCUACUUCCCAGGGCUGGGGCCCCGCACAGCAGACCAGGGCCACCCCAUUUGGCGGGAGCAGGUGGGAAGUUUGUCUUAGUGAGGAACGGAGGCCGUGGCGAGCGCCGUGGUUGCUGGGUCCGAUGUGUAGAAAGAAGCACUAUUUUAUCGGAAUCCCUGACAACCUGGAAGUGCCUUUGUGCAGGAAGGAUGAGGGUGAACCAGUCUGGGAUCCUCCAUCACCCAGAACACAGACAGAUUCAGCGGUGAGAGGAAACGAAUGUGCUUUUUUGUAG
RNAcentral lists this long non-coding RNA (1025 nucleotides) under Callithrix jacchus (white-tufted-ear marmoset). RNAcentral's name for it is "lncRNA (ENSCJAG00000077906.1)". The record is from RNAcentral. Lineage: Eukaryota; Metazoa; Chordata; Mammalia; Primates; Cebidae.